Mirounga angustirostris (Northern elephant seal) is the source of this 700-nucleotide long non-coding RNA. RefSeq lists it as uncharacterized. The transcript has 3 exons. The record is from RefSeq and is a predicted model, not a curated record. NCBI's taxonomy places the organism in Eukaryota, Metazoa, Chordata, Mammalia, Carnivora, Phocidae.
CUCUAUUCAAGCAGAGAAAGCACAUGCUGUUACUCGCGGGUCCCGGGGGCAAGGUUCUGUGGGACUAUUUUUAAAUCAGGGCAGUAACAUCCGCCAACAGAGCGGUAGCGAGCACGCAGCUGCUGACCGCAGGCUCCCGGUGGCGACAUGGGGUCCUGUCCAAGAAGCGCUUCUGAGCCGCGUUCAUGGUUGGAGGAGAAGAGGCUGAGGCCACGGUCAAGGUAAAGUCUGAUGAAACCAAGAUGACAAUCAGAGGAGACAGCCGGAGUUUUGUCCUGUGACCUCCUUCCAGAAACAUUCCUGCCUGGUUCACAGAAAGAUCAUCGUGGUGAAAGGAAGGAAUGCUUUCCAAAGUGCAAGGACUUAACGGAGCCUUUGUUUAUUCUAUUCCAUGGGUGGGGGGUCCUCAGUCUGCUGAGGACUUGCCCUCACCCACGUCUCCCAACAGUACUUCUGGAGUGUGAAGGUCAUUGUCUUCUAGGCCCAGAGCUUGGCUUUCUGCCUUUUUGCAUCAGAUUUUACUCUGUGUUCUGCUUACUCUGCUAAAGGGCGCCUGGGUGGCUCAGUUGGUUAAGCGACUGCCUUCGGCUCAGGUCGUGAUCCUGGAGUCCCUGGAUCGUCCCACAUCGGGAUCCCUGCUCAGUGGGAGGUCUGCUUCUCCCUCUGACCCUCUUCCCUCUUGUGCUCUCUGUCUCUCAUU